AUGGGCAAAGCUAAAGUGUCGCCAGUACACGGCCACACAAUUCCGCGUUUAGAGUUAUGUGCAGCUGUCCUUUCCGUCGAGAUUGCAGAUACUUUGAAAGAACACCUCAAAUUAGACUCGACUUGUUUUCAUUUUUAUACUGACAGUAAGGUUGUUUUAGGUUACUUAACUAAUGAAACACGUAGAUUUUAUGUUUAUGUGAGCAACCGAGUAAACCGAAUAAGAACAUCAAGUUCUCCUAGCCAAUGGAGCUACAUUUCAACUGAUCUGAAUCCAGCAGAUGUAGCAACAAGAAGCCUUAAUACUGUAGAUUUACCCAGUUCAGUCUAUCUGCAGGGACCAACAUUCUUGAGUCAAGAUUCAGAUAUUGGAAAACAAAUGUAUCCACUUGUCGACCCAAAUGAUGAUAAAGAAGUCCGUCCGUCUGUAGUUACUAAUAAAACUGACAUUAAUGAGGAAGUAGGAUUGUCAAGCAGGUUUUCUCGGCUUGCAUCUUGGAAAAGUCUAGUGAGAGCUAUUCAGUUUCUUAAAGCCUUUAUUAGAAAGUUACAUCAAGAGAGUCCACCUUCUCGACAAGAAGUGGAACAAUUUAUCAUCAAAACAGUGCAAGAAGAGGCAUUUUCAAACGAUAUCAAUGCAAUUAGUUCCGUUGGUCAGUUACUUCCCACGUCAAAUUUAUUGUCGCUUUCACCUGUGUUAGACAAACAUAAUAUUCUUAGAGUUGGUGGACGUAUACGACAUGCAAAAACUGUUGAGCUACAUCUUCAGCCAAUAAUUAUUCCAAAGAAACAUCAUUUAGCUGUGUUACUGACGCGUCACUAUCAUGAAUUGACAUGUCAUCAAGGCAGACACAUGACUGAAGGAGCCUUGCGUUCAGGAGGCUUUUGGGUUAUAGGCAGUAAAAGGCUAGUUUCUACAAUCAUCAGACAAUGUGUCACAUGUAAGAAAUUGCGAGGUCAGUUUAAAGUACAAAAGAUGUCUGACCUUCCGGAAGAUAGACUCACUCCAGGACCUCCUUUUACCUUUGUGGGAAUCGAUACAUUUGGACCAUACCAAAUCAUCCAUAGAAAAACUAGAGGCUCAUCAAUCAAUCAGAAAAGAUGGGCAAUAUUAUUCACAUGUUUGGUUUCAAGAGCGAUACAUAUUGAAGUCAUAGAAGAAAUGAGUAGCGCCAGUUUUAUCAAUGCAUAUCGUCGUUUCAUUGCUAUCAGAGGAUCUGUUAAACUUAUUCGAUCAGAUAGAGGAACAAAUUUUGUUGGUGCAAUACAAGAUUUAGGAAUCACAGCUGAAUUCAUUGAAAAGGGCACCGUUGAUAUAAUGCUAUCACAAUACGGAACUAUAUGGAAAUUCAACCCUCCGCAUGCUUCACAUUUUGGUGGAUCAUGGGAAAGGAUGAUAGGUUUAAGCAGAAGGAUUUUAGAUUGCAUGCUCAUUCGUGAAAAAAAUAGACUCACACAUGAAAUUUUAGUUACUCUAAUGGCAGAGGUCAGUGCUAUUGUGAAUUCAAGGCCGUUAGUAUCUGUCUCUACUGACCCGGAUAACCCGGAAGUAUUAUCUCCGUCUAUGCUCUUAACACACAAGAAAGGACAGGAUGAACAAACUAUGCUACAAUUUGGAACUAAGGACAUGCUACGUAGUCAGUGGAAGAUGGUUCAAGGACUCGCAGAUGAAUUCUGGUCAAAAUGGAAUAAAGAAUAUUUACAUACACUUCAAGUAAGGAAAAAGUGGGAAUUGCCGAUAAAGGACUUAAAUAUAGGAGACAUAGUUCUCAUGAGGGACAAAGAGUUACCAAGACCACAGUGGCCGAUGGCAAUAGUAACAAAAGUUUUCCCCAGUGCCGACAUGAAAAUCCGAAAAGUGGAAAUUCGAACUAUUAGAGACAACAAACCCAGUUUAUUCAUAAGACCAAUUGUUGAACUCAUUCCUCUCGUUCUUACUGAUCCAAAAUGA
Molecule: small RNA, 1950 nt
Filed under: Mytilus galloprovincialis (Mediterranean mussel)
Lineage: Eukaryota; Metazoa; Mollusca; Bivalvia; Mytilida; Mytilidae
Source: RNAcentral